RNAcentral lists this transfer RNA (65 nucleotides) under Sorineuchora bivitta. RNAcentral's name for it is "tRNA-Ser". The record is from RNAcentral. Lineage: Eukaryota; Metazoa; Arthropoda; Insecta; Blattodea; Pseudophyllodromiidae.
GAAAUAUAAGAAAAGUGAAAGCUGCUAACUUAUCAUUAUAGUGGUUAAAUUCCAUUAGUAUUUCU